This 253-nucleotide ribosomal RNA is filed under the name uncultured bacterium. Its description in RNAcentral is "partial 16S ribosomal RNA". It matches the Rfam family "Bacterial small subunit ribosomal RNA", at positions 524 to 776 of the family's 1533-position model. The record is from RNAcentral.
UACGUAGGGUGCAGGCGUUAAUCGGAAUUACUGGGCGUAAAGCGUGCGCAGGCGGUCUGCUAAGUGAGGUGUGAAAUCCCCGGGCUUAACCUGGGAACUGCGCUUCUAACUGGCAGGCUUGAGUGUGGCAGAGGGGGGUGGAAUUCCACGCGUAGCAGUGAAAUGCGUAGAGAUGUGGAGGAACACCGAUGGCGAAGGCAGCCCCCUGGGCUAACACUGACGCUCAUGCACGAAAGCGUGGGGAGCAAACAGG